Molecule: ribosomal RNA, 253 nt
Filed under: uncultured bacterium
Lineage: Bacteria
Description: partial 16S ribosomal RNA
Rfam family: Bacterial small subunit ribosomal RNA
Source: RNAcentral
UACGUAGGUGGCAAGCGUUGUCCGGAAUUAUUGGGCGUAAAGCGCGCGCAGGCGGUCCUUUAAGUCUGAUGUGAAAGCCCACGGCUCAACCGUGGAGGGUCAUUGGAAACUGGGGGACUUGAGUGCAGAAGAGGAAAGCGGAAUUCCACGUGUAGCGGUGAAAUACGUAGAGAUGUGGAGGAACACCAGUGGCGAAGGCGGCUUUCUGGUCUGCAACUGACGCUGAGGCGCGAAAGCGUGGGGAGCAAACAGG